RNAcentral lists this ribosomal RNA (150 nucleotides) under Ophiostoma quercus. RNAcentral describes it as "5.8S ribosomal RNA". It matches the Rfam family "5.8S ribosomal RNA". Rfam says of the family: 5.8S ribosomal RNA (5.8S rRNA) is a component of the large subunit of the eukaryotic ribosome. It is transcribed by RNA polymerase I as part of the 45S precursor that also contains 18S and 28S rRNA. Functionally, it is thought that 5.8S rRNA may be involved in ribosome translocation. The record is from RNAcentral. Lineage: Eukaryota; Fungi; Ascomycota; Sordariomycetes; Ophiostomatales; Ophiostomataceae.
AAACUUUCAACAACGGAUCUCUUGGCUCUGGCAUCGAUGAAGAACGCAGCGAAAUGCGAUACGUAAUGCGAAUUGCAGAAUUCAGCGAGUCAUCGAAUCUUUGAACGCACAUUGCGCCCGCCAGCAUUCUGGCGGGCAUGCCUGUCCGAG